ACGCGUCUUGGUUAUUGAUGUUAGAUGCUUGCAUUUAACUGACUUUCAUUGAGACGAGUGGCGAACUGGUGAGUAACACGUGGGCUAACCUGCCCUUGAAGUAGGGGAUAACACUUGGAAACAGGUGCUAAUACCGUAUAACAACCAAAACCACCUGGUUUUGGUUUAAAAGAUGGCUUCGGCUAUCACUUUAGGAUGGACCCGCGGCGUAUUAGCUUGUUGGUAAGGUAACGGCCUACCAAGGCAAUGAUACGUAGCCGACCUGAGAGGGUAAUCGGCCACAUUGGGACUGAGACACGGCCCAAACUCCUACGGGAGGCAGCAGUAGGGAAUCUUCCACAAUGGACGAAAGUCUGAUGGAGCAACGCCGCGUGAGUGAUGAAGGGUUUCGGCUCGUAAAACUCUGUUGUUGGAGAAGAACAGGUGUGAGAGUAACUGUUCACAUCUUGACGGUAUCCAACCAGAAAGCCACGGCUAACUACGUGCCAGCAGCCGCGGUAAUACGUAGGUGGCAAGCGUUGUCCGGAUUUAUUGGGCGUAAAGCGAGCGCAGGCGGUUUCUUAGGUCUGAUGUGAAAGCCUUCGGCUUAACCGGAGAAGUGCAUCGGAAACCAGGAGACUUGAGUGCAGAAGAGGACAGUGGAACUCCAUGUGUAGCGGUGAAAUGCGUAGAUAUAUGGAAGAACACCAGUGGCGAAGGCGGCUGUCUGGUCUGUAACUGACGCUGAGGCUCGAAAGCAUGGGUAGCGAACAGGAUUAGAUACCCUGGUAGU
This 772-nucleotide ribosomal RNA is filed under the name uncultured bacterium. RNAcentral describes it as "bacterial SSU rRNA". It matches the Rfam family "Bacterial small subunit ribosomal RNA", at positions 42 to 794 of the family's 1533-position model. The record is from RNAcentral.